This 639-nucleotide ribosomal RNA is filed under the name uncultured bacterium. Its description in RNAcentral is "bacterial SSU rRNA". It matches the Rfam family "Bacterial small subunit ribosomal RNA", at positions 607 to 1244 of the family's 1533-position model. The record is from RNAcentral.
GCUCAACCGUGGAGGGUCAUUGGAAACUGGGAAACUUGAGUGCAGAAGAGGAAAGUGGAAUUCCAUGUGUAGCGGUGAAAUGCGCAGAGAUAUGGAGGAACACCAGUGGCGAAGGCGACUUUCUGGUCUGUAACUGACGCUGAUGUGCGAAAGCGUGGGGAUCAAACAGGAUUAGAUACCCUGGUAGUCCACGCCGUAAGCGAUGAGUGCUAAGUGUUAGGGGGUUUCCGCCCCUUAGUGCUGCAGCUAACGCAUUAAGCACUCCGCCUGGGGAGUACGACCGCAAGGUUGAAACUCAAAGGAAUUGACGGGGACCCGCACAAGCGGUGGAGCAUGUGGUCUAAUUCGAAGCAACGCGAAGAACCUUACCAAAUCUUGACGUCCUUUGACCACUCUAGAGAUAGAGCUUUCCCCUUCGGGGGACAAAGUGACAGGUGGUGCAUGGUUGUCGUCAGCUCGUGUCGUGAGAUGUUGGGUUAAGUCCCGCAACGAGCGCAACCCUUAAGCUUAGUUGCCAUCAUUAAGUUGGGCACUCUAGGUUGACUGCCGGUGACAAACCGGAGGAAGGUGGGGAUGACGUCAAAUCAUCAUGCCCCUUAUGAUUUGGGCUACACACGUGCUACAAUGGACAAUACAAAG